UGACAAAUAGGUUAGUGCUAUUGAGCUAAGGAUGAACAAUGACCAUUGAACUUUGGCUGUAUAUUGCUGUUUGAAAUGAUGGAACUGGUCAUUUGAUCACAUUCAGCUUGAUCAUCUACAUCUGCUAGUGACCCAGUCCCUGAGAGUCACCAAGAAUUGAUUCCACUGAGGCGAUGGCAGGCGGGGCUUUGGUGUUGGAAAAGUCAGUGGUUGAUAUGGACAGCACAGACUCACAUAAGCUGCUGGUUUAUUACACUAGAAAAAUAAGGCUCUUUUAAUGCAAGAGAAAGAAAACCAGCUACAACCACCUAAAAUCAAAUGGGGAGUUUCAUGGUGCACAUCCACAAAGUGGACAUGUCAGGACAGGGGAACAUCUGGAUCACAAGAAUGCCGGUUCCCAAAGACAAUAAGGAUGGUUUCCAGCCUCUACUAUUUCUGCACUGCGAAGCCAUCAUCUCCAUUUCAGACUUUCCCACUAAGCAGGAAAUACAAUUGCCAACAGCAGCUAGCUUCGUACCUCAAAGCAACACCAGAAAGAAGAAGCAUUUCCAUCGAGGGAAGGAGUGAGUGUAAGGAGUAUUUCCCCCAAAAGAAAGAGAAGAACAAAGAAGCAUAAAGAUUGAUUACUGCUUACCUCUUCAAGAAUAUGGCUGUCUUGGGGAACCAGACAGAGAUCAUCUUCUAAACCUGACUGUACGUUUUGAUCAUCUGAGAAGAUUUUAAGAAAACAUGGAUCCCAAAACUUACUGUAUACCUAGUGAACCAGAAAAUCUGGAGGAUGAAAUACAAAAAUAUAUUUAAAAUUAAAAACCUUCUCUGUCCUCCAUUUCUAACCACCACUAUACUGCCAAGAAGCGCCAAUAUUGACUCCUGGUGUGUGUACUUCA
This 887-nucleotide long non-coding RNA is filed under the name Homo sapiens (human). Its description in RNAcentral is "HSALNT0081225". Lineage: Eukaryota; Metazoa; Chordata; Mammalia; Primates; Hominidae. The record is from RNAcentral.